UGAUCACAUCUUUUAAUGUUU
This 21-nucleotide non-coding RNA is filed under the name Caenorhabditis elegans. The record is from RNAcentral. Lineage: Eukaryota; Metazoa; Nematoda; Chromadorea; Rhabditida; Rhabditidae.